RNAcentral lists this ribosomal RNA (460 nucleotides) under uncultured bacterium. RNAcentral's name for it is "partial 16S ribosomal RNA". It matches the Rfam family "Bacterial small subunit ribosomal RNA", at positions 338 to 795 of the family's 1533-position model. The record is from RNAcentral.
CCUACGGGCGGCAGCAGUGAGGAAUAUUGGUCAAUGGACGAGAGUCUGAACCAGCCAAGUAGCGUGAAGGAUGACUGCCCUAUGGGUUGUAAACUUCUUUUAUAUGGGAAUAAAAUGUUCCACGUGUGGGAUUUUGUAUGUACCAUAUGAAUAAGGAUCGGCUAACUCCGUGCCAGCAGCCGCGGUAAUACGGAGGAUCCGAGCGUUAUCCGGAUUUAUUGGGUUUAAAGGGAGCGUAGGUGGAUUGUUAAGUCAGUUGUGAAAGUUUGCGGCUCAACCGUAAAAUUGCAGUUGAAACUGGCAGUCUUGAGUACAGUAGAGGUGGGCGGAAUUCGUGGUGUAGCGGUGAAAUGCUUAGAUAUCACGAAGAACUCCGAUUGCGAAGACAGUUCACUGGACUGCAACUGACACUGAGGCUCGAAAGUGUGGGUAUCAAACAGGAUUAGAUACCCGGGUAGUC